AGUCCUGUAGCUCAACGGUGGAGCAUCUGUCUUACAAACAGGGGGUUGCGGGUUCAAAUCCUGCCAGGACUACCA
RNAcentral lists this transfer RNA (75 nucleotides) under Leptolyngbyaceae cyanobacterium RM1_405_57. RNAcentral describes it as "tRNA-Val". It matches the Rfam family "tRNA". Rfam says of the family: Transfer RNA (tRNA) molecules are approximately 80 nucleotides in length. Their secondary structure includes four short double-helical elements and three loops (D, anti-codon, and T loops). Lineage: Bacteria; Bacillati; Cyanobacteriota; Cyanophyceae; Leptolyngbyales; Leptolyngbyaceae. The record is from RNAcentral. RNAcentral also lists the same sequence under 2 other names.